AGCUAAAGCCCCCCCCUUUCAAAUACUCUCUCUCGAGUUUUUCCCUCUCAGCGGCAGCGCCCGCUCUCAUUUACUACUUCCUUCUCUUGCUCUAUUUUACGCUCUCCUUUAUUUUUCUUUACUAUUACCACUUAAGUACUACAUCAGAUUUCUUUCUCUCAAACCCUAGAAGCCACAUUCGCGAACCCUAGCACAGCUACAUUCUAUCCAAUCAUGGAAAUUAAUCCAGAGUUCCUCUCCCAAUGUUUUCUUCAUACACUCUCUCCAGCACCGGAGCCACGCCGCGCCGCUGAAGCCAAACUCACAGAAGCUGCUGACAGCCCAAAUUAUGCCCUCGCCGUUCUCCGCUUAGUCGCGGAACCCUCCGUCGAUGAGCAGAUCCGUCACGCUGCUGCCGUCAACUUUAAGAAC
RNAcentral lists this unclassified non-coding RNA (411 nucleotides) under Hevea brasiliensis (rubber tree). The record is from RNAcentral. Lineage: Eukaryota; Viridiplantae; Streptophyta; Magnoliopsida; Malpighiales; Euphorbiaceae.